This is a long non-coding RNA of Oncorhynchus keta (chum salmon), 3812 nucleotides long. RefSeq lists it as uncharacterized. The transcript has 4 exons. The record is from RefSeq and is a predicted model, not a curated record. Lineage: Eukaryota; Metazoa; Chordata; Actinopteri; Salmoniformes; Salmonidae.
GCUCUCUUUGUCCUCUGGUGCUUCACUUCCACCUCUAGUCCACUAGCCAGUCCUGAUGGAUUCUUAUGAUUUUAAGGGUAUGGAUGGACAGAGUGAGGUUUAGAGACUCCUAGGGCUCAGGGGAUGAAGCCAGACCAACCUGUUAUCAGAACCUGCGCAGUGCCUACCUACACACAUGCGCACAUACCUGAAAAGAGGGGGGCAUGCUGCCAUCAGACAGCAUCUUUUCUUAUGGAAUUACAGGGAGAGAGGAAGUGCUCACGCCUCAUGAAGAUGGAUUACUGGGCUGAACACGCUAACAACAAGUGGCUAAAUUAAUGGCUUUAUGGAACUUUAUGAAAUCAGUCAUUUAUUGUCGAACUGGGAUUCCUGGGAGGGCCUUCUGAUGAAGAUCAUCAAAGCACCACUGCUUGAAAUGGACAUGACAGGUGCUGUCCAUGGACCUGACUGCUCCAGCAAAUCAAUAGAGAUCCUAUAUUUUAUGUAAUUCUAUGAUUAAAUAUGUUGCUCAUAAAUACAGCCUUUAAGAUUCUACUUCAACCAAAUAAAAGGGUCCAGUCAGAUUACUGUUAGCAAACAUUGUCCUGAACUGUCCAAUGAAAUUACUGUUAUCAAACAUUGUCCUGUCCAAUCAGAUUACUGUUAGCAAAAAUUGUCAGUGAAGUUCACAUGCAAGACUAUUUGUGAGCGGUAAUUUGAUUGGAUGUGGGGACCCUAAAAAAAUCCCUACAUGGGUGUCACACCCUGAUCUGUUUCCCCUGUCUUUGUGUUUGUCUCCACCCCCCUCCAGAUGUCGCCUAUCUUCCCCAUCCUGUCGUGCCUAUUGCUCCUGUUUUCUGUUUUACCCGGUUUUGACCUUUUCUGCCCGCCCUGACACUGAGCCUGCCUGUCGUCCUGUACCUUUGCCCCACUACUCUGGAUUACCAACCUUUGGCUGAUCUGACCCUGAGCCUGCCUGCCAUCCUGUACCUUUGCCCCACUACUCUAGAUUAUCAACCCCUGCCUACCUUGACCUGUCAUUUGCCUGCCUCGGUUUCUGUAAAAAAAACAUUGUUACUUCGACACAGUCUGUAUUUGGACCUUACAUUCAAACCUGAUACAUGUGUAUACAGUUGAAGUCGGAAGUUUACCAACACAUAGAUUGGAGUCAUUAAAACAUAUUUUUCAACCACUCCACAGAUUUCUUGUGAACAAUCUAUAGGUUUGGCAAGUAGGUUAGGACAUCUAGUUUGUUCAUGACACAAGUAAUUUUUCCAACAAUUGUUUCCAGACAGAUUAUUUCACAGUAUCACAAUUCCAGUGGGUCAGAAGUUUACAUACAUUAAGUUGACUGUACCUUUAAACAGCUUGGAAAAUUCCAGAAAAUGUUGUCAUGGCUUUAGAAGCUUCUGAUAGGCUACUUGACAUAAUUUGAGACAAUUGGAGGUGUACAUGUGGAGGUAUUUCAAGGUCUACUUUCAAACUCAGUGCCUCUUUGCUUGACAUCAUGGGAAAAUCAAAAGAAAUCAGCCAAGACCUCAGAAAAGAGUUGUAGACCUCCACAAGUCUGGUUUAUCCUUGGGAGCAAAUUUCAAACACCUGAAGGUACCACGUUCAUCUGUACAAACAAUAGUACGUAAGUAAAGGCACCAUGUGACCACACAGCCAUUAAAUAUCAUACUUUCUGGAGAAAUGUCCUUUCGUCUGAUAGAACUGUUUGGCCAUAAUGACCAUCGUUAUGUUUGGAGGAAAAGGGGGGGUUUUGAAAGCCGAAGAACACCAUCCCAACCAUGAAGUACUGGGGUGGCAUCAUCAUGUUGUGGGUGUGCUUUGCUGCAGGAGGGACUGAUGCACUUCAUGACAUCAUGAGGAUGUAAAAUUAUGUGGAAAUAUUGAAGCAACAUCUCAAGACAUCAGUCAGGAAGUUAAAACUUGGUCACAAAUGGGUCUUCCAAAUGGACAAUGACCCCAAGCAUACUUCCACAAUGGCUUAAGGACAACAGAGUCAAGGUAUUGGAUUGGCCAUCAGAAAGCCUUGACCUCAAUCCUAUAGAAAAUUUGUGGGCAGAACUGAAAAAGCGUGUGCGAGCAAGGAGGCCUACAAACCUGACUCAGUUAACCAGCUCUGUCAGGAGGAAUGGGCCUAAAUUCACCCAAUUUAUUGUGGGAAGCUUGUGGAAGGCUACCCGAAACGUUUGACCCAAGAUAAACAAUUUAAAGGCAAUGCUACCAAAUACUUGUCACGACCUGACCACAGAGAGCUUUUUUUCUCUGUUGGUUAGGUCGGGUGUGACUAGGGUGGGUUAUCUAGGUGAUUUAUACAUCUAUGUUGGCCAGGUAUGGUUCCCAAUCAGAGGCAGCUGUUUAUCAUUGUCUCUGAUUGGGGAUAAUAUUUAGGCAGCCAUUUCCCCUUUGUGUUUUGUGGGAUCUUGACUAUGGAUGCCUGUUAGCACUAUUGUUAGCUUCACGGUCUGUUGAGAUGUAUUGUUUUGUUUUUCUGUGAGUUUCACUUAGAAAUAAAAAGAUGUGCAACCCAGAUCACGCUGAGCUUUCGUCCAAUCAUUAUAACGAACGUGACAAUACUAAUUGGGUGUAUGUAAACUUCUGACCCACUGGGAAUGUGAUGAAAGAAAUAAAAGCUGAAAUAAAUCAUUCUCUCUACUACUAUUCUGACAUUCCACAUUCUUACAAUAAUGUGGUGAUCCUAAUUUACCUAAAACAGGGAAUUUUUACCAGGAUUAAAUGUAAGGAAUGAUGAAAAACUGAGUUUAAAUGUAUUUGGCUAAGGUGUAUGUAAACUUCUGACUUCAACUGUAUAUCUGAUCAAAUGAAUUGUCCUUUUAUAAAGUACAUACAGCAGUACACACCAUUCUAUAAAUGUAAUGGCUAAUAUAGUGGCAGUAAUCCAUUGCCUUGGUAACUGCCUGGCGUUGCUCAAACACGGAAUAGAAUUAUGUAUCGAAAUCUAACAACCGCUUUUAGUGAAACAUGAGCUGGAGAACUCCUAAAUGUUUAAAGCCUCUUUUGGGUAACUUGCACCUUUGUAGUGGUGCUUAGCUCACAUACUUUACUCUUGCUGUUACUGUACUGGAGCUGCUGACAUUUCUCUCUCAGACAUCACAAUAUUUUCAUUGGUUUGUGUUUUACCAGUUAUAUGGUGCAUAGUCAAUGCAUAGUGGUGCAUUGUCAAUGCAUAGUCAAACUAUUUUAGUAAAGUUACCCGCAAAAGACAGGAUCACCACUACCUUCUAACUUCACCUAUGCACAGACAAGGGUUUUAACCUGCUAUAGUAGUUACUGUAUGUCACGUUAAUGUCCUUCGAACAGCAUGUAGGCCUACUCACCACUGGGCAAGUUGGGUAGGAUUCAAACCUUGUCCCAAACAGCCUGACAAAAUCAAAUGCAAUCCACAGCUCAACUGUAAGGAAAUCAUGAUGAAAGCCAAAAGUAAUCCUUCAUAAUAGGGCGACACAGUGUUUUGCUGUAUUUACUCACAGACUUUGGCUGAGGCACAUCUCCCAGUCCCACUUUGCGUACUUACAGCAGGAUUCAGGAGUUGCUUUUUGUCAGAACAUUAGAUGAAUCUAUUAUUCACUGCAGUAAUAGUGGUGAUAUUAUUCAUAUAUUGUACACACAUGUACGCUCCGUCAGUCUCUUCCUUCCGUCUCCCCACAAACCCCCCAUGUCCCCUUAUUCCCCCAUACAUAAUUAUUCCACCUACUCUCACUGUAUAUACACAAGGGUUUCCUUCCUCAAGCAUACUUGGUUACAUGUGCUUCACAGUUCUUGCCUGAGCCAGUACUCAGUACUGGGAUGUUUGAGUGUCCAUGACC